RNAcentral lists this long non-coding RNA (280 nucleotides) under Lathyrus oleraceus (garden pea). RNAcentral describes it as "Pisum sativum (pea) long non-coding RNA (PSAT_LNC022835)". The record is from RNAcentral. Lineage: Eukaryota; Viridiplantae; Streptophyta; Magnoliopsida; Fabales; Fabaceae.
AAAAAUAUUCUCAUCAAUUUUAUAAUUGAUUUGAGAUUUAUUUGAGAUUUUAAUUCAAUUAGGUUAUUUUUAUUCAUUUUUAAUUGGUUAAAAAUAGUUUCUGACUUUUAAAAAUUCUGAAAUUUUUUGUCAAACUUGGUUUGACCUUGUUGAACUUGGGAUAAAUUGCUUGGACCUUUCAAGGUUGAUUUGAAGCAAUUUUGAAGUUUGACCUUUUCUUUUAUUUUUAAUAUUAAAAAAUACCAAAAAUAUUUUGUUCAUUUCUUGACUUCCAAUCUUC